This 253-nucleotide unclassified non-coding RNA is filed under the name uncultured Actinomycetes bacterium. Its description in RNAcentral is "uncultured actinobacterium contains 16S-23S intergenic spacer region". It matches the Rfam family "Bacterial small subunit ribosomal RNA", at positions 524 to 776 of the family's 1533-position model. The record is from RNAcentral. Lineage: Bacteria; Bacillati; Actinomycetota; Actinomycetes.
GACGUAGGGCGCGAGCGUUGUCCGGAUUUAUUGGGCGUAAAGAGCUCGUAGGCGGCUUGUCGCGUCGAAUGUGAAAACCCGAGGCUCAACUUCGGGCUUGCAUUCGAUACGGGCAGGCUAGAGUUCGGUAGGGGAGACUGGAAUUCCUGGUGUAGCGGUGAAAUGCGCAGAUAUCAGGAGGAACACCGGUGGCGAAGGCGGGUCUCUGGGCCGAUACCGACGCUGAGGAGCGAAAGCGUGGGGAGCGAACAGG